Molecule: transfer RNA, 58 nt
Filed under: Klebsiella pneumoniae
Lineage: Bacteria; Pseudomonadati; Pseudomonadota; Gammaproteobacteria; Enterobacterales; Enterobacteriaceae
Description: tRNA-Glu
Rfam family: tRNA
About the family: Transfer RNA (tRNA) molecules are approximately 80 nucleotides in length. Their secondary structure includes four short double-helical elements and three loops (D, anti-codon, and T loops). Further hydrogen bonds mediate the characteristic L-shaped molecular structure. tRNAs have two regions of fundamental functional importance: the anti-codon, which is responsible for specific mRNA codon recognition, and the 3' end, to which the tRNAs corresponding amino acid is attached (by aminoacyl-tRNA synthetases). tRNAs cope with the degeneracy of the genetic code in two manners: having more than one tRNA (with a specific anti-codon) for a particular amino acid; and 'wobble' base-pairing, i.e. permitting non-standard base-pairing at the 3rd anti-codon position.
Source: RNAcentral
CGUCUAGAGGCCCAGGACACCGCCCUUUCACGGCGGUAACAGGGGUUCGAAUCCCCCA